AGCGAACGCUGGCGGCAGGCUUAACACAUGCAAGUCGAACGGGCAUAGCAAUAUGUCAGUGGCAGACGGGUGGGUAACGCGUGGGAACGUACCUUUUGGUUCGGAACAACACAGGGAAACUUGUGCUAAUACCGGAUAAGCCCUUACGGGGAAAGAUUUAUCGCCGAAAGAUCGGCCCGCGUCUGAUUAGCUAGUUGGUAGGGUAAUGGCCUACCAAGGCGACGAUCAGUAGCUGGUCUGAGAGGAUGAUCAGCCACAUUGGGACUGAGACACGGCCCAAACUCCUACGGGAGGCAGCAGUGGGGAAUAUUGGACAAUGGGCGAAAGCCUGAUCCAGCCAUGCCGCGUGAGUGAUGAAGGCCCUAGGGUUGUAAAGCUCUUUUGUGCGGGAAGAUAAUGACGGUACCGCAAGAAUAAGCCCCGGCUAACUUCGUG
This 435-nucleotide ribosomal RNA is filed under the name uncultured bacterium. RNAcentral's name for it is "partial 16S ribosomal RNA". It matches the Rfam family "Bacterial small subunit ribosomal RNA", at positions 29 to 507 of the family's 1533-position model. The record is from RNAcentral.